CAGGCUUAACACAUGCAAGUCGAGGGGCAGCAUUUUAGUUUGCUUGCAAACUGAAGAUGGCGACCGGCGCACGGGUGAGUAACACGUAUCCAACCUGCCGAUAACUCCGGAAUAGCCUUUCGAAAGAAAGAUUAAUACCGGAUAGCAUACGAAUAUCGCAUGAUAUUUUUAUUAAAGAAUUUCGGUUAUCGAUGGGGAUGCGUUCCAUUAGUUUGUUGGCGGGGUAACGGCCCACCAAGACUACGAUGGAUAGGGGUUCUGAGAGGAAGGUCCCCCACAUUGGAACUGAGACACGGUCCAAACUCCUACGGGAGGCAGCAGUGAGGAAUAUUGGUCAAUGGGCGAGAGCCUGAACCAGCCAAGUAGCGUGAAGGAUGAAGGCUCUAUGGGUCGUAAACUUCUUUUAUAUGGGAAUAAAGUUUUCCACGUGUGGAAUUUUGUAUGUACCAUAUGAAUAAGGAUCGGCUAACUCCGUGCCAGCAGCCGCGGUAAUACGGAGGAUCCGAGCGUUAUCCGGAUUUAUUGGGUUUAAAGGGAGCGUAGGUGGAUUGUUAAGUCAGUUGUGAAAGUUUGCGGCUCAACCGUAAAAUUGCAGUUGAAACUGGCAGUCUUGAGUACAGUAGAGGUGGGCGGAAUUCGUGGUGUAGCGGUGAAAUGCUUAGAUAUCACGAAGAACUCCGAUUGCGAAGGCAGCUCACUAGACUGUCACUGACACUGAUGCUCGAAAGUGUGGGUAUCAAACAGGAUUAGAUACCCUGGUAGUCCACACAGUAAACGAUGAAUACUCGCUGUUUGCGAUAUACAGUAAGCGGCCAAGCGAAAGCAUUAAGUAUUCCACCUGGGGAGUACGCCGGCAACGGUGAAACUCAAAGGAAUUGACGGGGGCCCGCACAAGCGGAGGAACAUGUGGUUUAAUUCGAUGAUACGCGAGGAACCUUACCCGGGCUUAAAUUGCAACAGAAUAUAUUGGAAACAGUAUAGCCGUAAGGCUGUUGUGAAGGUGCUGCAUGGUUGUCGUCAGCUCGUGCCGUGAGGUGUCGGCUUAAGUGCCAUAAUGAGCGCAACCCUUAUCUUUAGUUACUAACAGGUCAUGCUGAGGACUCUAGAGAGACUGCCGUCGUAAGAUGUGAGGAAGGUGGGGAUGACGUCAAAUCAGCACGGCCCUUACGUCCGGGGCUACACACGUGUUACAAUGGGGGGUACAGAAGGCGGCUACCUGGUGACAGGAUGCUAAUCCCAAAAACCUCUCUCAGUUCGGAUCGAAGUCUGCAACCCGACUUCGUGAAGCUGGAUUCGCUAGUAAUCGCGCAUCAGCCAUAGCGCGGUGAAUACGUUCCCGGGCCUUGUACACACCGCCCGUCAAGCCAUGAAAGCCGGGGGUACCUGAAGUACGUAACCGCAAGGAGCGUCCUAGGGUAAAACUGGUAAUUGGGGCUAAGU
Molecule: ribosomal RNA, 1440 nt
Filed under: uncultured organism
Description: 16S ribosomal RNA
Rfam family: Bacterial small subunit ribosomal RNA
Source: RNAcentral